GGGGUGGUCGUUUGCCGCCCUACGAAGUUUGCGCGCUCAUAUCGUGCGAAUUACUUAUUCCUCUUUGUUUUAAGUUGGGAUGUGAUGUGUUUUAUGAAUAUUCUUUGAGAAGCGCAGCCAGCAUGAGGGGUGUGCCAUUCAUCGUAUGUACGUUCAUCUCAAUAUUGGAAACGGAUGCUUUUCCCAACAAUGCGAGGCGCCCUAUUGUUGGAACCACGCACCGGAUUGCAUUUAAGCCAUCACGGAUUCAAGCCUCAAAUUAUAAUGAAGAUACAUUAGACGCGGAUUAUGACGGACAUUCUGGACAAGAUUUU
Molecule: long non-coding RNA, 314 nt
Organism: Zerene cesonia (dogface butterfly)
Lineage: Eukaryota; Metazoa; Arthropoda; Insecta; Lepidoptera; Pieridae
Exons: 5
Source: RefSeq, a predicted model, not a curated record